This 301-nucleotide ribosomal RNA is filed under the name uncultured bacterium. RNAcentral's name for it is "partial 16S ribosomal RNA". It matches the Rfam family "Bacterial small subunit ribosomal RNA", at positions 509 to 807 of the family's 1533-position model. The record is from RNAcentral.
CAGUCGCCACGGGAAUACGGAGGGUGCAAGCGUUAAUCGGAAUUACUGGGCGUAAAGCGCACGCAGGCGGUCUGACAAGUCAGAUGUGAAAUCCCCGGGCUUAACCUGGGAACUGCAUUUGAAACUGUCAGGCUGGAGUCUUGUAGAGGGGGGUAGAAUUCCAGGUGUAGCGGUGAAAUGCGUAGAGAUCUGGAGGAAUACCGGUGGCGAAGGCGGCCCCCUGGACAAAGACUGACGCUCAGGUGCGAAAGCGUGGGGAGCAAACAGGAUUAGAUACCCGGGUAGUCCCUGUCUCUUAUAC